CUACAAGAUGAGCCAUGCAGGAUUAGCUAGUUGGUGAGGUAAUAGGCGUCACCAAGGCAACGAAUCUUUAGUUGGUCUGAGAGGAUGAUCAGCCACACUGGAACUGAGACACGGUCCAGACUCCUACGGGAGGCAGCAGUGGGGAAGUAUUGGACAAUGGGCGGCAAGCCUGAUCCAGCGACGCCGCGUGAGUGAUGAAGGCCUUAGGGUUGUAAAGGACUCUUUUAGUUGGGGAAGGAUAAUGACGGUACCCACAGAAAAAGACCCCGGCCUAACUUCGUGC
Molecule: ribosomal RNA, 283 nt
Filed under: uncultured Devosia sp.
Lineage: Bacteria; Pseudomonadati; Pseudomonadota; Alphaproteobacteria; Hyphomicrobiales; Devosiaceae
Description: partial 16S ribosomal RNA
Rfam family: Bacterial small subunit ribosomal RNA
Source: RNAcentral